This 781-nucleotide ribosomal RNA is filed under the name uncultured bacterium. RNAcentral's name for it is "bacterial SSU rRNA". It matches the Rfam family "Bacterial small subunit ribosomal RNA", at positions 1 to 776 of the family's 1533-position model. The record is from RNAcentral.
UUAGAGUUUGAUCCUGGGUCAGGAUGAACGCUAGCUACAGGCUUAACACAUGCAAGUCGAGGGGCAGCGGGAUUGAAGCUUGCUUCAAUUGCCGGCGACCGGCGCACGGGUGAGUAACACGUAUCCAACCUUCCGUUUACUCGGGGAUAGCCUUUCGAAAGAAAGAUUAAUACCCGAUAGUAUGGUGAGAUUGCAUGAUAACACCAUUAAAGAUUUAUUGGUAAACGAUGGGGAUGCGUUCCAUUAGGUAGUAGGCGGGGUAACGGCCCACCUAGCCUACGAUGGAUAGGGGUUCUGAGAGGAAGGUCCCCCACAUUGGAACUGAGACACGGUCCAAACUCCUACGGGAGGCAGCAGUGAGGAAUAUUGGUCAAUGGGCGAGAGCCUGAACCAGCCAAGUAGCGUGAAGGAUGAAGGUCCUACGGAUUGUAAACUUCUUUUAUAAGGGAAUAAAACGCUCCACGUGUGGAGCCUUGUAUGUACCUUAUGAAUAAGCAUCGGCUAACUCCGUGCCAGCAGCCGCGGUAAUACGGAGGAUGCGAGCGUUAUCCGGAUUUAUUGGGUUUAAAGGGAGCGCAGACGGGAUGUUAAGUCAGCUGUGAAAGUUUGCGGCUCAACCGUAAAAUUGCAGUUGAUACUGGCGUUCUUGAGUGCAGUUGAGGUGUGCGGAAUUCGUGGUGUAGCGGUGAAAUGCUUAGAUAUCACGAAGAACUCCGAUUGCGAAGGCAGCUCACUAAACUGUAACUGACGUUCAUGCUCGAAAGUGUGGGUAUCAAACAGG